This 1982-nucleotide ribosomal RNA is filed under the name human gut metagenome. Its description in RNAcentral is "bacterial LSU rRNA". It matches the Rfam family "Bacterial large subunit ribosomal RNA", at positions 1 to 1980 of the family's 2925-position model. The record is from RNAcentral.
UAAAGCAAGAAAGGGCGUAUGGGGAAUGCCUAGGCACACUCCGGCGAAGAAGGACGCAGCAAACAGCGAAAUGCGACGGUGAGCGGUAAGCACGUGAAGAGCCGUCGAUAUCCGAAUGGGGGAACCCACACGGAGUCAUAUCCGUGUAUCACAUGUCGAAUACAUAGACAUGAUGAGGCGAGACGCAGGGAACUGAAACAUCUAAGUACCUGCAGGAAGAGAAAAUAAGAAUGAUUUUCUGAGUAGCGGCGAGCGAAAGGGAAAGAGCCCAAACCGAUCUUAGGAUCGGGGUAGUAGGAUCAUCGAUAAAUCUGACAGAGGAUCAUAGAGGAAUCACAUGGGAAGGUGAGCGAGAGAGGGUGAGAGCCCCGUACUCGAAAUGAGAGACUGGAGAGAGAUGACACCUGAGUAGGGCGGGACACGAGAAAUCCUGUCUGAAUCGGCCGGGACCAUCCGGCAAGGCUAAAUACGAGAGAGUGACCGAUAGUGAACCAGUACCGUGAGGGAAAGGUGAAAAGAACCCCGGGAGGGGAGUGAAAGAGAACCUGAAACCGUAUGUCUACAAGCAGUCGGAGCGAAAGCGACGGCGUGCCUAUUGAAGAAUGAACCAACGAGUUACGUGCACUAGCGAGGUUAAGUGGAAGACACGGAGCCGAAGCGAAAGCGAGUCUUAAGAGGGCGGAUAGUUAGUGUACGUAGACCCGAAACCGCAGUGAUCUACCCAUGUCCAGGUUGAAGCGCAGGUAAAAUUGCGUGGAGGACCGAACCUGUGAGCGUUGAAAAGCUUUAGGAUGAGAUGUGGGUAGAGGUGAAAUUCCAAUCGAACGCGGAGAUAGCUGGUUCUCCCCGAAAUAGCUUUAGGGCUAGCCUCAAGUAGUAAGUAUAGGCGGUAGAGCACUGAUCGGGCUAGGGGCCAUAAAGGUUACCGAACCCUGUCAAACUCCGAAUGGUUAUACUGUAGAGCUUGGGAGUCAGACUACGAGUGAUAAGAUCCGUGGUCAAAAGGGAAACAGCCCAGACCACCAGCUAAGGUCCCCAAUGUCGUACUAAGUGGAAAAGGAUGUGGGGUCUCUAAAACAACCAGGAUGUUGGCUUAGAAGCAGCCACCAUUUAAAGAGUGCGUAAUAGCUCACUGGUCGAGAGACCCUGCGCCGAAGAUUACCGGGGCUAAAGUACGAAACCGAAGCUGUGGCUACGACGUAAGUCGUGGGGUAGGGGAGCGUUCUGUGAGGGCUGAAGUCGUUCUGUAAGGAACGGUGGACUUCACAGAAGUGAGAAUGUUGGUAUGAGUAGCGAAAAGAAUGGUGAGAAUCCAUUCCACCGAAAGCAUAAGGAUUCCUGGGCAACGAUCGUCGUCCCAGGGUAAGUCGGGACCUAAUCCGAGGCAUGGAGCGUAGGAGAUGGACAACUGGCAGAUAUUCCAGUACCGGUAAUGAUUGUUUGAGCGAUGGAGUGACACAGGAGGGCAGGCAGGCAGGAGAUUGGUUGUUCCUGUACAAGCGUGUAGGAUGGGACGUAGGCAAAUCCGCGUCCUGUGAGUCUGAGGCGUGAUGUGGAGGUUCCGGAAACGGAACUGAAGCUGCUGACCCCACACUGUCGAGAAAAGCUUCUAGUUAGAGAAUUACCGCCCGUACCGUAAACCGACACAGGUAUGCGGGGAGAGAAUCCUAAGGUGCGCGGGAGAACCCUCGUUAAGGAACUCGGCAAAAUGUACCCGUAACUUCGGGAUAAGGGUAGCCGCUGUUGUGAAGUCUGUACAGAUGGAGCAUGAGGCGGUCGCAGAGAAGAGGCCCAAGCGACUGUUUACCACAAACACAGGUGCCUGCUAAAGAGAAAUCUGACGUAUAGGUGCUGACACCUGCCCAGUGCCGGAAGGUUAAGGAAGGAUGUCCGGAGCAAUCCAAAGCAUUCGACCGAAGCCCCGGUGAACGGCGGCCGUAACUAUAACGGUCCUAAGGUAGCGAAAUUCCUUGUCGGGUAAG